RNAcentral lists this ribosomal RNA (497 nucleotides) under uncultured bacterium. Its description in RNAcentral is "partial 16S ribosomal RNA". It matches the Rfam family "Bacterial small subunit ribosomal RNA", at positions 28 to 507 of the family's 1533-position model. The record is from RNAcentral.
GAUGAACGCUGGCGGCGUGCCUAAUACAUGCAAGUCGAGCGAACAGACGAGGAGCUUGCUCCUCUGACGUUAGCGGCGGACGGGUGAGUAACACGUGGAUAACCUACCUAUAAGACUGGGAUAACUUCGGGAAACCGGAGCUAAUGCCGGAUAAUAUAUUUAACCGCAUGGUUCAAUAGUGAAAGACGGGUUUGCUGUCACUUAUAGAUGGAUCCGCGCCGCAUUAGCUAGUUGGUAAGGUAACGGCUUACCAAGGCAACGAUGCGUAGCCGACCUGAGAGGGUGAUCGGCCACACUGGAACUGAGACACGGUCCAGACUCCUACGGGAGGCAGCAGUAGGGAAUCUUCCGCAAUGGGCGAAAGCCUGACGGAGCAACGCCGCGUGAGUGAUGAAGGUCUUCGGAUCGUAAAACUCUGUUAUUAGGGAAGAACAAAUGUGUAAGUAACUAUGCACGUCUUGACGGUACCUAAUCAGAAAGCCACGGCUAACUACGUG